This 565-nucleotide ribosomal RNA is filed under the name uncultured eukaryote. RNAcentral describes it as "SSU rRNA". It matches the Rfam family "Eukaryotic small subunit ribosomal RNA", at positions 4 to 569 of the family's 1831-position model. The record is from RNAcentral.
CUGGUUGAUCCUGCCAGUAGUCAUACGCUUGUCUCAAAGAUUAAGCCAUGCACGUCUGAGAAUAAAGGGUUUUCUCUGAAUCUGCGAAUGGCUCAUUAUAUCAGUUAUAGUUUAUUUGAUAGUCCCUUACUACUUGGAUAACCGUAGUAAUUCUAGAGCUAAUACAUGCAUCAACUCCCAACUGCUUGUCGGACGGGAUGUAUUUAUUAGAUUGAAACCAAUGCGGGGCAACCCGGUAUUGUGGUGAAUCAUGAUAACUUUGCGGAUCGCAUGGCCUCGCGCCGGCGAUGAAUCAUUCAAGUUUCUGCCCUAUCAGCUUUGGAUGGUAGGGUAUUGGCCUACCAUGGCUUUGACGGGUAACGGAGAAUUGGGGUUCGAUUCCGGAGAGGGAGCCUGAGAGAUGGCUACCACAUCCAAGGAAGGCAGCAGGCGCGUAAAUUACCCAAUCCCGAUACGGGGAGGUAGUGACAAUAAAUAACAAUACAGGGCUUUAUAGUCUUGUAAUUGGAAUGAGUACAAUUUAAAUCUCUUAACGAGGAACAAUUGGAGGGCAAGUCUGGUGCCA